CCUACGGGAGGCAGCAGUGAGGAAUAUUGGUCAAUGGGCGGGAGCCUGAACCAGCCAAGCCGCGUGAGGGAAGAAGGUACAGCGUAUCGUAAACCUCUUUUGUCAGGGAACAAAGGCGGGGACUAGUCCCCGGAUGAGGGUACCUGAAGAAAAAGCAUCGGCUAACUCCGUGCCAGCAGCCGCGGUAAUACGGAGGAUGCGAGCGUUAUCCGGAUUUAUGGGGUUUAAAGGGUGCGCAGGCGGCCUGUUAAGUCAGCGGUAAAAGCCCGGGGCUCAACCCCGGCGAGCCGUUGAAACUGGCGGGCUGGAGUUGGAGAGAAGUACGCGGACUGCGCGGUGUAGCGGUGACAUGCUUAGAUAUCGCGCAGAACCCCGAUUGCGAAGGCAGCGUACCGGCUCCACACUGACGCUGAGGCACGAAAGCGUGGGUAUCGAACAGGAUUAGAUACCCGAGUAGUC
Molecule: ribosomal RNA, 459 nt
Filed under: uncultured bacterium
Lineage: Bacteria
Description: partial 16S ribosomal RNA
Rfam family: Bacterial small subunit ribosomal RNA
Source: RNAcentral